GGGGAGGUAACAUCCGGAAACGGGUGCUAAUACCGCAUAGUUUUCUUGAUCGCAUGAUCGGGAAAGGAAAGACGGCCUUUGUGCUGUCGCUUAUGGAUGGACCCGCGGCGUAUUAGUUAGUUGGUGAGGUAACGGCUCACCAAGACGAUGAUACGUAGCCGACCUGAGAGGGUGAUCGGCCACAUUGGACUGAGACACGGCCCAAACUCCUACGGGAGGCAGCAGUAGGGAAUCUUCCGCAAUGGACGAAAGUCUGACGGAGCAACGCCGCGUGAGUGAAGAAAGGUUUUCGGAUCGUAAAACUCUGUUGUCAGAGAAGAACAAGUUGGAGGGUAACUGCUCCAGCCUUGACGGUAUCUGACCAGAAAGCCACGGCUAACUACGUGCCAGCAGCAGC
This 397-nucleotide ribosomal RNA is filed under the name uncultured bacterium. RNAcentral describes it as "bacterial SSU rRNA". It matches the Rfam family "Bacterial small subunit ribosomal RNA", at positions 137 to 518 of the family's 1533-position model. The record is from RNAcentral.